Homo sapiens (human) is the source of this 399-nucleotide long non-coding RNA. The record is from Ensembl. Lineage: Eukaryota; Metazoa; Chordata; Mammalia; Primates; Hominidae.
AGGCCAGUCUGGUUGAGUCUGAAACUGCCAUCUCACAUGCAAUUUCGCACUCAUCUUGUCCCCCACUGAAGGGCUGGCUUAGCCUUGGCCGGAGAGCCCUGGAGAAGGAGGGGAGAGGUCGGGGGGACUGGCUGCGGUCCUUCCUCUUUCUCCUGGCUUCUGGGGUUGGGAGGGGAAGAGGAGGAAGAGGAGGAGGAGGAGAAGGUCUGGAGUGUCGGCACAAUAGUAAUAUCAAUAACAAUAGCAGCUAAUAUUUACUGCAAGUGGUUCUCUGGGUCUGGAGAUGCUCCAAGCACUUUUCUGACCGAUGCAAACUUCAUAAAACCAUUUUGUUCAUCUCUUCCUGAUACCUGGUAUGCGCUCACUAAAUGCUUGGGAACGUGAAUGAAUGAAUGAAAC